This 1000-nucleotide long non-coding RNA is filed under the name Androctonus crassicauda. Lineage: Eukaryota; Metazoa; Arthropoda; Arachnida; Scorpiones; Buthidae. The record is from RNAcentral.
UAUUUCUGCCAACAGUCCAGCCAUUGGGCUUCCUAUCGGGACCCCUCUGUUUGCUGGUAAAAUCUCUUAAAUUUGUAAUACGACAUGUGACAUAUUAUGUGGGCUACCUCUCUUAAUAGUGAUGCUCUUCUUUGGGCAUCAGGGAUGCUUUGCAAUAAGAAUUUAUAAAAGGCUACACAUGUCAGCUGCAGAUGGAGAGAGAGAUAUAGGUUCUCAAAGUCAUAUGUUAUUAUUAUAUCCUGGUGUUGUCGAUCAGUCUUGUGUAUUCUUGCUAAAGCUUUGGCCGUUAUGAUUGUUAAAUUGUCUGUCUGUCCUAAGAUGGAUGUGCACCAUUGGGCUAUGGUCUGCUCCAAGUUGUAUGUGGGAGCAUCUCUUUUUUUGACUAUUGGUCUUGAUGCUAACAGAGUCUUGUGUGUUUUAAUAUAAGCAAAGAGUUUAAGGCAUGUUGGCACAGUUACCUUCUGAUGUUUCCAUAUUGGUGGAAAGAAUUUGUGCUUGACUAUCCUAUCUACCAUAGCUGCUAGUUUUAAGGUAAGAUCCUCAGCUAUUUACUUAGGUUCAGGUUUUUGGAUGUAGUCCUCCAAAAAAUGGUCAUAAGUUGCCCUAUCCAGGAGCAUCAUCAUCUUAGUUUUAUCUUUUCUUGUGAUAGUGUAGUUUCUUUCUUUAAGCCACUCAACUGUCUCCCUUAGUAGAUGUGCGUUGUGGCAGUUAAGGGUUUUUUCUUCAUGUUUGGGUCUGCCCAUCUUUUCUCUAACGUAAGUCCACUGGCAGAGUUGAUUCUUGGAGAAAUAGAGGCUGCAGUAUUGUCGAAGUUCGAGCUAUAUUUAGUUAAGACUAUUAGGUAUGUCGACAACCUUUUCACCUUAUGGUCUAGCCAAGAAAAAGUUGACGAUUUCCAAGCAGUGCUAACCCUCAAACAGUACAGUACUACCAAAAUAAAUAACUAGCUUAUAACACCCUAAAUAACUUUUAUUAUUAAAGCUUUUCAGAUACUACUCCA